UGGGGAAUCAUGGUCAAUGGGCGAAAGCCUGAACCUGCGACGCCGCGUGAGUGAUGAAGGUCGUAAGAUCGUAAAACUCUUUUCAGGGAUCUUAAAGCCUGUCUGUCAACAACAGGCAGGUCUGACUCUCCCUGGAAGGAGCCCCAGCCAACUACGUGCCAGCAGCUGCGGUCAUACGUAGGGGGCGAGCGUUAUUCGGAAUUACUGGGUGUAAAGGGUAUGUAGGCGGCCCUUCAAGUCGCGUAUCAAAGUCCAGUGCUAAACGCUGGGUGUGCACGCGAUACUGACGGGCUUGAGGGCUGGAGAGGUGAGCGGUAUUCCCGGUGUAGUGGUAAAAUACGUAGAGAUCGGGAGGAACACCAGCGGCGCAGGCGGCUCACUAGACAGUUUCUGACGCUAAGAUACGAAAGCGUGGGGAGCAAACA
RNAcentral lists this ribosomal RNA (425 nucleotides) under uncultured prokaryote. RNAcentral's name for it is "bacterial SSU rRNA". It matches the Rfam family "Bacterial small subunit ribosomal RNA", at positions 355 to 774 of the family's 1533-position model. The record is from RNAcentral.